This 429-nucleotide ribosomal RNA is filed under the name Chloroflexota bacterium. RNAcentral describes it as "Chloroflexi bacterium partial 16S ribosomal RNA". It matches the Rfam family "Bacterial small subunit ribosomal RNA", at positions 355 to 776 of the family's 1533-position model. Lineage: Bacteria; Bacillati; Chloroflexota. The record is from RNAcentral.
UGGGGAAUAUUGCACAAUGGGCGCAAGCCUGAUGCAGCCAUGCCGCGUGUAUGAAGAAGGCCUUCGGGUUGUAAAGUACUUUCAGCGGGGAGGAAGGGAGUAAAGUUAAUACCUUUGCUCAUUGACGUUACCCGCAGAAGAAGCACCGGCUAACUCCGUGCCAGCAGCCGCGGUAAUACGGAGGGUGCAAGCGUUAAUCGGAAUUACUGGGCGUAAAGCGCACGCAGGCGGUUUGUUAAGUCAGAUGUGAAAUCCUCGGGCUCAACCUGGGAAGUGCAUCUGAUACUGGCAAGCUUGAGUCUCGUAGAGGGGGGUAGAAUUCCAGGUGUAGCGGUGAAAUGCGGAGAGAUCUGGAGGAAUACCGGUGGCGAAGGCGGCCCCCUGGACGAAGACUGACGCUCAGGUGCGAAAGCGUGGGGAGCAAACAGG